This 372-nucleotide ribosomal RNA is filed under the name uncultured eukaryote. RNAcentral describes it as "partial 18S ribosomal RNA". It matches the Rfam family "Eukaryotic small subunit ribosomal RNA", at positions 592 to 976 of the family's 1831-position model. The record is from RNAcentral.
CAAUAGCGUAUAUUAAAGUUGUUGCAGUUAAAAAGCUCGUAGUUGGAUUUCUGGGAGGGUGCCGCCGUCCGGCGUGUCCGUGUGCAGUGGCGCCCUUCCAUCCUUCUGUUUGCGUCUCUUGGCAUUCAUUUGCUGGUGGCGGGCUCAGAUAUUUUACCUUGAGAAAAUUAGAGUGUUUCAGGCAGGCUAGGCCGGAAUACAUUAGCAUGGAAUAAUGGAAUAGGACUACGGUCUCUUUGUUGGUUUGAGGGACUGCAGUAAUGAUUAAUAGGGAUAGUUGGGGGCAUUAGUAUUUAAUUGUCAGAGGUGGAAUUCUCAGAUUUGUUAAAGACUAACUUAUGCGAAAGCAUUUGCCAAGGAUGUUUUCAUUAA